UUGAACGCUGGCGGCCGGCCUCACCCCUGCCAGUCGAGCGGAUGAAGGGAGCUUGCUCCUGGAUUCAGCGGCGGACGGGUGAGUAAUGCCUAGGAAUCUGCCUGGUAGUGGGGGAUAACGUCCGGAAACGGGCGCUAAUACCGCAUACGUCCUGAGGGAGAAAGUGGGGGAUCUUCGGACCUCACGCUAUCAGAUGAGCCUAGGUCGGAUUAGCUAGUUGGUGGGGUAAAGGCCUACCAAGGCGACGAUCCGUAACUGGUCUGAGAGGAUGAUCAGUCACACUGGAACUGAGACACGGUCCAGACUCCUACGGGAGGCAGCAGUGGGGAAUAUUGGACAAUGGGCGAAAGCCUGAUCCAGCCAUGCCGCGUGUGUGAAGAAGGUCUUCGGAUUGUAAAGCACUUUAAGUUGGGAGGAAGGGCAGUAAGUUAAUACCUUGCUGUUUUGACGUUACCAACAGAAUAAGCACCGGCUAACUUCGUG
RNAcentral lists this ribosomal RNA (483 nucleotides) under uncultured bacterium. RNAcentral describes it as "partial 16S ribosomal RNA". It matches the Rfam family "Bacterial small subunit ribosomal RNA", at positions 30 to 507 of the family's 1533-position model. The record is from RNAcentral.